Molecule: long non-coding RNA, 2359 nt
Organism: Dendrobium catenatum
Lineage: Eukaryota; Viridiplantae; Streptophyta; Magnoliopsida; Asparagales; Orchidaceae
Exons: 2
Source: RefSeq, a predicted model, not a curated record
GAAAUCAAGAUCCAAAUAUUUGAAUUUGCAAUGAAUCACAGCCAUUUCAAAACAGGUUUCAGUUAAUUACACGUUAUACAUGCUCAAGAUAUGCUGAUAUUAUACUUGUAACCAAAUUACACAUUGCUGUUAGUUAGAGAGCUGGAAGAAUCAGAAGAGAAUGUGUUCAUCUUAUUUCUAAGCAAGUUUCAAACAAAUUGAAGAUGGGCACACUAUAAGGCUUCAUUUGGGACGGCUUUUUUAUUGCUUCAUAUAAUAACUUUUUAGUAAAAAAUUAAAAAUUUUAUAUUAGAAAGCUUCUUUAAGAAGCAGAAAGAAAGUCAUCCCAAAUGAAGCCUAAAUGUGCUGAUGCUGCAUUUGGUUACAUUAGGUUAAAGCAUGUUUUAAAAAAAAACAGUUAGUUUAUUAGGUUGAAUGCAAUAAGAAAGCAAUAUAUAAUUCUUUGAUAUUUAAAACUAAAUAACAAUCAUAAAAACUAUAAAUAUAUAAAAAGUUCUAGCAGAAAAUAAUGCUUGGAGACUACAAGAUAAAUAAAAAAUCAUAGAAAUAGCAAGUUACAACCGCCGACAACAGUUUGCCUAGAUUCUAGGAGACUCCAACAAAGUAUGAAUCAAGAAAGCAAGCAUGUAUGGAUAAAGUUUAUAUAAAUUCUACCAUUGUUUCGUUUGGGAUGACUUUUUUACUACUUAAAGCAGUUUUUUUAGUACACAAAUUUUAAAAAACUGAUUUAAGAAGCACUAAGAAAGCUGUCCCAAAUGAUCCUAAGACAUCAGUUUGAUGGAAAUGGAAAUGCUUGGACCCUCAAUACCAAAUAAUAAUUGAGAAAAAUAGCAAUUCUAAAUGGACAAGGAUGGGCUUCAGUUUGAUUGUGAAUGUUGGAGAUACCAUUGUUAAUAAGACAAAAUAUAAAAUCUACCAUGUUUUAAAUCAACUAAGAAAAGCUUCAGUUUGAUUGAAAUGCUUGAAAAAUAAAGUCCAGGUUUCUACAAUUCAACCAUUUAGUGCAACGGCAUUAAGGCAUAAGUUUGAUUGCAAUGUUUGGACAGCAAAAAAGAAAUACGAAUUGUAAAGUCUACUGAUGUGGUAUUCCACGGAAGAAGCAGGUUCACACAAGAUGAAAUCAAAGAAGGCAAUAGAACAGUAAUGGCUAAGGCCAGGAAAAUGUAUUUUCUCAACUAAGUUCCCCUUCUUCUCCCGGAGAAGAAAAACAGAGGUGGCCAUUUCUCAAAAUGGCAACAGACAAGCUGGCAGACAAAGAGAACCUGCAGCUAACUAAACAAAGUAAUUUCUGUUGGUGGAGCAGCCACCUCUAACGGAACUCUAAAGCUUAAAAUAAAAACAAGUAGUAAAUAAUUAAACUAGAAAAUACUUAAAGCAAAUGACUAGAUCAGCAGCCGACGGCUUGAUGCACCGCAUCAUCUACCGAGUGAAUGGAUAGCAGGUUCCAGUUUUAGGCAGUAUAAAUGGACUAAUACAGGGCUUAAGUUUGAUUGCAAUGCUCUAAGAAUUGAGAAUCCUACAACAGUUACUAAAAUUAACGAUUACAAAGAGAAGGUUGGUGACUCCAAGAAAACCAGUAUGCUUGAAGAAGCUAAAUCAAUCCUAUUUUUACAAAACAGGAUCAAGAUAAAAUACUCCAGAGCAUAAGACAAGAAUACCCGUAAAGAAGUUCAGAAAAAUUUAGAUCAAAUACUUCACAGAAAAUUUGAAUUUGAAUAUCUGGUAGAAUGCUGAUGGGAGGUGCAAACAGACUCGGCUGCCGAAUACUAUAGAGGGUGCAAAUACUACACAAAGCUUCAAUUUGAUUGCAAUGUUUGAAGAGAAGACUAAAGGCUCAUAUGGGACAGCUUUUUUACUGCUUUUUAAAUAAGCUUUUUAGUACAAAAAUUAACAUUUUUUUACUAAAAAUUGCUUUAAGAAGCAAUAAGAAAGCCGUCCCAAACAAAGCCUAAGAGGAUGUUUGAUCUGAUGUUAUCCAUAUAACAUUGCUAUCUACAUAAAAUUAGAGAUUGUUUGGUUUGAUUAUAUCUUCAAUUUUGAAGUAAGCUAUAUAGCAUUAGCACCUAAGAUGGCGACAAAUUUAGGUGCUGUUUAGAUAACCUCAAUCUUGAUGGCUAAAAUAUACAGAAAAUAAAUAAGCAUUCAUUAUUCAAAAUAAAAGCAUCGAACCAAACAAUUUGUAUUUAAUAAAUAAGAAUAACAUUGUCAUCUAGAUAUAGCACUGUAUCUAUAUAACAUCAAACCAAACAACCCCUAAACAAUACUUCAGUUAGCAAGCAAGAGGAAGAGGCCGUUGGCCAAAGUUAAAAAGAAGCUUAAAAUGAACAUUUCAAUAAUGUCUCAAAAACUAUAAGUAAUA